AUGGAUUUUAGCCCUUCCAUUUUAUGUUGGAAUGUGAGAGGUUUGAACAGCGGUGCGAAGCGGGAUGCGACUCGAGAGUUUAUCACCAGUGUGCGUGUGAACAUUAUAUGUCUUCAAGAAACAAAACUGGAUGUAAUUGACCGCUUUACGGUAAUACAAUGCCUUGGGCCAUCCUUUGAUGGCUUCGCCUACUUGCUGGCUUUGGAGACUAGAGGAGGGAUCCUCGUGGCUUGGGACUCUUUAGCGAUCGAGAUCGACCAAUUUAGCCUGAACUCCGACUUCAUCACGGGUCAAGUGCACCCUAAGAAUGGAUCCGUUUGGUGGAUGUCGGUGGUUUAUGGCCCUCAAGGCAACCUGCUAAAAACUGCCUUUCUUGAGGAGCUACAAGCGAGGCACGCUCUCUGCCCGGGUCCAUGGAUGGUGCUUGGCGACUUCAACAUGAUUUUGCGUGCAUUGGAGAAGAGUAACACAAAUCUCAAUAAAACCAUGAUGGCUAGAUUCUGA
This 504-nucleotide ribosomal RNA is filed under the name Triticum aestivum (bread wheat). RNAcentral's name for it is "partial small subunit ribosomal RNA". The record is from RNAcentral. Lineage: Eukaryota; Viridiplantae; Streptophyta; Magnoliopsida; Poales; Poaceae.